GACGAACGCUGGCGGCGUGCUUAACACAUGCAAGUCGAACGGAAAGGCCCUGCUCUUGUGGGGUGCUCGAGUGGCGAACGGGUGAGUAACACGUGAGUAACCUGCCCUUGACUUUGGGAUAACUUCAGGAAACUGGGGCUAAUAUCGGAUAGGAGCUCCUGCUGCAUGGUGGGGGUUGGAAAGUUUCGGCGGUUGUGGAUAGACUCGCGGCUUAUCAGCUUGUUGGUGGGGUAGUGGCUUACCAAGGCUUCGACGGAUAGCCGGCCUGAGAGGGUUAACGGCCACAAUGGUACUGCGAUACGGCGCAGAAUGCUACGGGAGGCAGCAGUGGGGAAUAUUGCACAGUGGGCGGAAGCCUGAUACAGCGACGCCGCGUGCGGGAUGACGGCCUACGAGUUGUAAACAGAUUUCGCCGGUGACGAAGCGUGAGUGACGGUAAUGGGUAAAAAAGCACCGGCUAACUACGUG
This 468-nucleotide ribosomal RNA is filed under the name uncultured bacterium. RNAcentral's name for it is "partial 16S ribosomal RNA". It matches the Rfam family "Bacterial small subunit ribosomal RNA", at positions 28 to 507 of the family's 1533-position model. The record is from RNAcentral.